UUCUAAAUGUGUUAAGUAAAAACUGUGUUGUAGAAGUACCGUGUUAUAUGAGGGUUUCUGCAAUUUUCUAAUCAUGUUAGAGUAAAAUUGUGUUAUAUAAGGGUUACUUGUACAUUGUUAUGGAAUAUUUUACAUUGAUAGUAUCAAGGAAGUGAAUGCAUGAUUAGCUACUUUGAUCCUGUUUUAUAUGUAAGCCAAGAGAAAUAUUGCUAAGGGCAUUUGCAAUUUGUCAUUGUUCUUUCCAUCCCAAAUUAUUAUAACAUUGUCAAUAUAAUACUUGCAGGAUUUAAUGUGUGGAAGAAAUGUGUGUGAAGCUUACUUGAGCUAGGCAGAUAGUUCAACAAAGAUUGCCCCCAUUGCAACAAAAUAAAGAUUGUUAAAAUUUUUAUUUUGUUUAAAGAUUUGUGUAUCAAAAAUAAGAGUGGAGUGCUACAAAAUUGCAUGUGUCUCUUACAGAUUGGGAAGCAGUCAACAUAGGGCAGGUGUUCAAGAAACUGAAAAAGUGCAUGGGACACAGGAGGCAAUUCAAAAGAAGGAUAUAAUAUCAUGUAAUUAAAAACAGGCAUUGUUUCAUUGGGGAAAGGCUCUCUCUCAAGCAAUGCAUUAAUAAGAUCAGUUGGAGAUUUUAAGUAGAAGUCAUAGGCUCAAGCAUUCACCUAUUCUAAUUCACUAAACUUUUUCCCAAUUAAAAAUGUGGGAGCUUAGAAUUGUUGAAUAAUUGCAUAUUCUUUAAUAGAGAUUUGUGUGUUUUUAAUGAAAAUUAUUAGGCACAGAAAUGAAGAGGAAGUUUUGAUGACAGAAUUCUUCAGAAAGUCUGACAAAGCAGAAUUAGUCAUAAGUUUUUAUCCAACAUGCAAUAGGCAGUCAGUUGGGUCAACGUUGACUAUGGUGGAAUCUAUAGAAUUGCAGCAUUUGCAGUCAUGUUUCAAUAAGACAAAUUUCUUGGUUUUGUCUCCUCUGGAGCAGAAUAUCUUUAUCAUUUGAUUAGGUUUGAUUAAGUGAGACAGCAGCUUGACAUCUUCUGUUUUCUUUUAUAGUUGGGCAUUAUAUUUCCAUUAAGUUUUCUGAAAUUUUCAGAGAUACUUUAAUCAGAUUUUGUCUUUGUGUUCUUUUGCAACUCUAAUAAUAGAUUCAAGCUUCAAGCUGCAUUGGACCUUUGUCUAAUGUUUCUUUAACAUAUACAAAUAGUGGAAUAUCAGAAAGUAGUGAAUACAUUUGAAUUUUAUGCAAAGCACAUCACGUUUAACUCUGAAGAAGGCAUGUUGUAUUUCAAUGAUAAAUCUUUUAAAUUCUCUUUGUGUUGACUUUGAGUUUUUCUGAUUGCCUGGAAGCCUGAGUCUAAAGAUUCUCAUAGGAAGAACAAAGAGGAAGUACUCACAAACUUUAGAAAGACUAUUGGUGUUAUACAGGCUGUAAACUUGUUUUUGAAGGGGAGGAAAGCCUCAAUUUGCUGUGAAAUGAUAAGGCUAACAUGUCCAUAAAUGGCAGCUAACUGUUUAUAAAAUCCUCAUCAGAAAUCUAGAUCUCUUCAAAGAUAAAGCAUACAUCAGCUAUAUAUCUUAUAAUCUUAGAACUAGGUUUAACUCCUUGUGUACUGUGGAUGUUUUGAAAUUAAGCCUAAUUAAUAUUAAUAUGC
This 1636-nucleotide long non-coding RNA is filed under the name Androctonus crassicauda. Lineage: Eukaryota; Metazoa; Arthropoda; Arachnida; Scorpiones; Buthidae. The record is from RNAcentral.